AGCCUUGAGGUGUUUACAUAUAAGAUUGCAAAUCUUAAGUAGCAGAGUAAUAUCUGCCGGGGCUU
RNAcentral lists this transfer RNA (65 nucleotides) under Aphanius dispar dispar. Its description in RNAcentral is "tRNA-Cys". The record is from RNAcentral. Lineage: Eukaryota; Metazoa; Chordata; Actinopteri; Cyprinodontiformes; Aphaniidae.